CCCCUAGUAACGGCGAGUGAAGAGGGAAAAGCUCAAAUUUUGAAUCUGGUGUCUUUGACUCCCGAGUUGUAAUCUAGAGAAGUGUUUUCCGUGUCGGACCGUGCACAAGUUCCCUGGAACGGGGCGUCAUAGAGGGUGAGAAUCCCGUAUAUGGCAUGGACUACCGAUGCUUUUGUGAUACACUCUCAACGAGUCGAGUUGUUUGGGAAUGCAGCUCAAAAUGGGUGGUAAAUUCCAUCUAAAGCUAAAUAUUGGCGAGAGACCGAUAGCGAACAAGUACCGUGAGGGAAAGAUGAAAAGCACUUUGGAAAGAGAGUGAAACAGUACGUGAAAUUGUUGAAAGGGAAGCGUUUGAAGUCAGUCGUAUCUGGCGGGAUUCAGCCGGGCUUUUGCCAGGUGUACUUCUCGUCCGAUGGGUCAGCAUCAAUUUCGACCGGGGGAAAAAGACGUGUGGAAUGUGGCUGUCUUCGGGCAGUGUUAUAGCCAUGCGUUGUAUGCCUCGGUUGGGAUUGAGGAACGCAGCGCGCCUAUAGGCCAGGGGUUCGCCUCUUGACACGCGCUUAGGAUGCUGGCAUAAUGGCUUUAAGCGACCCGUCUUGAAACACGGACCAAGGAGUCUAACAUGUGCGCGAGUGUUUGGGUGUCAAACCCAGGCGCGAAAUGAAAGUGAAAGGUUGGGAUCAUUUGUUUGUGCACCGACGCCCGGAGCAGACCUUCUGUGACGCAUCCGCGGUAGAGCGUAUAUGUUGGGACCCGAAAGAUGGUGAACUAUGCCUGAAUAGGGUGAAGCCAGAGGAAACUCUGGUGGAGGCUCGUAGCGAUUCUGACGUGCAAAUCGAUCGUCAAAUUUGGGUAUAGGGGCGAAAGACUAAUCGAACCAUCUAGUAGCUGG
RNAcentral lists this ribosomal RNA (892 nucleotides) under Sebacinales sp. JPK-132. RNAcentral describes it as "eukaryotic LSU rRNA". It matches the Rfam family "Eukaryotic large subunit ribosomal RNA", at positions 77 to 954 of the family's 3401-position model. The record is from RNAcentral. Lineage: Eukaryota; Fungi; Basidiomycota; Agaricomycetes; Sebacinales.